AUGCUUGCUUUGGCAGCACAAAUAUUAAAAUUGGAACAAUAUGAAGAAGGUUCAUGGGGGCCCCUGCACAAGGUUGUGAAAUCAUUAAGUGUUCCUUUUCUAAUUUUG
Molecule: small nuclear RNA, 108 nt
Filed under: Ictidomys tridecemlineatus (thirteen-lined ground squirrel)
Lineage: Eukaryota; Metazoa; Chordata; Mammalia; Rodentia; Sciuridae
Source: RNAcentral